Long non-coding RNA from Eurytemora carolleeae, 193 nucleotides. RefSeq lists it as uncharacterized. NCBI's taxonomy places the organism in Eukaryota, Metazoa, Arthropoda, Copepoda, Calanoida, Temoridae. The record is from RefSeq and is a predicted model, not a curated record. The transcript has 3 exons.
CCCUGUACACAAAUAUAUGCAAGAGAAGAAAAGGUGACUUCAGUGAGGUUCAGGACUCUGAUAGGCAUACACGGUACACCUUAAACAUGCAGUUUCAACCCUGGAUUCUCAGUGUUUUCUUAAUAUUCCUGGUAGCAACAGGAGGAUUUUCUCAGGAGGAGGAGGAGCCAGAUUGCGGAGAUGAAUUGGAUUG